RNAcentral lists this ribosomal RNA (253 nucleotides) under uncultured bacterium. Its description in RNAcentral is "partial 16S ribosomal RNA". It matches the Rfam family "Bacterial small subunit ribosomal RNA", at positions 524 to 776 of the family's 1533-position model. The record is from RNAcentral.
GACGUAGGGCGCGAGCGUUGUCCGGAAUCAUUGGGCGUAAAGAGCGUGUAGGCGGUCCGGUAAGUCGGCUGUGAAAGUCCAGGGCUCAACCCUGGGAUGCCGGUCGAUACUGCCGGACUAGAGUUCGGAAGAGGCGAGUGGAAUUCCCGGUGUAGCGGUGAAAUGCGCAGAUAUCGGGAGGAACACCUAUGGCGAAGGCAGCUCGCUGGGACGUUACUGACGCUGAGACGCGAAAGCGUGGGGAGCAAACAGG